RNAcentral lists this ribosomal RNA (468 nucleotides) under uncultured bacterium. Its description in RNAcentral is "partial 16S ribosomal RNA". It matches the Rfam family "Bacterial small subunit ribosomal RNA", at positions 28 to 507 of the family's 1533-position model. The record is from RNAcentral.
GACGAACGCUGGCGGCGUGCUUAACACAUGCAAGUCGAACGGAAAGGCCCUGCUUUUGUGGGGUGCUCGAGUGGCGAACGGGUGAGUAACACGUGAGUAACCUGCCCUUGACUUUGGGAUAACUUCAGGAAACUGGGGCUAAUACCGGAUAGGAGCUCCUGCUGCAUGGUGGGGGUUGGAAAGUUUCGGCGGUUGGGGAUGGACUCGCGGGUUAUCAGCUUGUUGGUGGGGUAGUGGCUUACCAAGGCUUUGACGGGUAGCCGGCCUGAGAGGGUGACCGGCCACAUUGGGACUGAGAGACGGACCAGACUCCUACGGGAGGCAGCAGUGGGGAAUAUGGCACAAUGGGCGGAAGCCUGAUGCAGCAACGCCGCGUGCGGGAUGACGGCCUUCGGGUUGUAAACCGAUUUCGCAUGUGACGAAGCGUGAGUGACGGUAAUGGGUAAAGAAGCACCGGCUAACUACGUG